RNAcentral lists this ribosomal RNA (742 nucleotides) under uncultured bacterium. RNAcentral's name for it is "bacterial SSU rRNA". It matches the Rfam family "Bacterial small subunit ribosomal RNA", at positions 1 to 794 of the family's 1533-position model. The record is from RNAcentral.
UGAGNUUGGAUCCUGGCUCGGAAUGAACGCUGGCGGCACGCUUAACACAUGCAAGUCGAACGAGAUCUUCGGAUCUAGUGGCAGACGGGUGAGUAACGCGUGGGAACCUGCCCAGUAGUAGAGAAUAACUUGGGGAAACUUAAGCUAAUACUUUAUACGUCCUUCGGGAGAAAGCUUUAUGCGCUAUAGGAUGGGCCCGCGUUAGAUUAGUUUGUUGGUGAGGUAAUGGCUCACCAAGGCGACGAUCUAUAGCUGGUCUGAGAGGAUGAUCAGCCACACUGGGACUGAGACACGGCCCAGACUCCUACGGGAGGCAGCAGUGGGGAAUAUUGGACAAUGGGGGCAACCCUGAUCCAGCGAUGCCGCGUGAGUGAUGAAGGCCCUAGGGUUGUAAAACUCUUUCGUCAGGGAAGAUAAUGACGGUACCUGAAGAAGAAGAUCCGGCUAACUCCGUGCCAGCAGCCGCGGUAAUACGGAGGGGUCUAGCGUUAUUCGGAAAUACUGGGCGUAAAGCGAGCGUAGGCGGAUUUGUAAGCUGGAGGUGAAAUCCCAGAGCUUAACUCUGGAACUGCCUUCAAAACUACAUUUCUUGAGUUGGGUAGAGGAGAGUGGAAUUCCUAGGGUAGAGGGGAAAUUGUAGGAUAUUAGGAGGAACACCAGUGGGGAAGGGGACUCUCUGGGCCAAUACGGACGCUGAGGUUGGAAAGCAUGGGUAGGGAACAGGAUUGGAUACCCUGGUAGU